GCCUUCGUGGUGUAGCGGUAGCACACACUACGCGUAUUCGAGAGGUCCAGGUUCAAAUCCCGGCAAGGGCA
This 71-nucleotide transfer RNA is filed under the name Stegodyphus mimosarum. It matches the Rfam family "tRNA". Rfam says of the family: Transfer RNA (tRNA) molecules are approximately 80 nucleotides in length. Their secondary structure includes four short double-helical elements and three loops (D, anti-codon, and T loops). Further hydrogen bonds mediate the characteristic L-shaped molecular structure. tRNAs have two regions of fundamental functional importance: the anti-codon, which is responsible for specific mRNA codon recognition, and the 3' end, to which the tRNAs corresponding amino acid is attached (by aminoacyl-tRNA synthetases). tRNAs cope with the degeneracy of the genetic code in two manners: having more than one tRNA (with a specific anti-codon) for a particular amino acid; and 'wobble' base-pairing, i.e. permitting non-standard base-pairing at the 3rd anti-codon position. Lineage: Eukaryota; Metazoa; Arthropoda; Arachnida; Araneae; Eresidae. The record is from Rfam by way of RNAcentral.